This 586-nucleotide ribosomal RNA is filed under the name uncultured bacterium. RNAcentral's name for it is "partial 16S ribosomal RNA". It matches the Rfam family "Bacterial small subunit ribosomal RNA", at positions 355 to 1375 of the family's 1533-position model. The record is from RNAcentral.
UGGGGAAUAUUGCACAAUGAGCGAAAGCCUGAUCCAGCAAUGCCGCGUGUGUGAAGAAGGCCUUCGGGUUGUAAAGCACUUUUGUCCGGAAAGAAAUCCUUGGCUCUAAUACAGUCGGGGGAUGACGGUACCGGAAGAAUAAGCACCGGCUAACUACGUGCCAGCAGCCGCGGUAAUACGUAGGGUGCAAGCGUUAAUCGGAAUUACUGGGCGUAAAGCGUGCGCAGGCGGUUUGCUAAGACCGAUGUGAAAUCCCCGGGCUCAACCUGGGAACUGCAUUGGUGACUGGCAGGCUAGAGUAUGGCAGAGGGGGGUAGAAUUCCACGUGUAGCAGUGAAAUGCGUAGAGAUGUGGAGGAAUACCGAUGGCGAAGGCAGCCCCCUGGGCCAAUACUGACGCUCAUGCACGAAAGCGUGGGGAGCAAACAGGAUUAGAUACCCUGGUAGUCCACGCCCUAAACGAUGUCAACUAGUUGUUGGGGAUUCAUUUCCUUAGUAACGUAGCUAACGCGUGAAGUUGACCGCCUGGGGAGUACGGUCGCAAGAUUAAAACUUAAAGGAAUUGACGGGGUCAUAGCUGUUUUCCU